RNAcentral lists this ribosomal RNA (179 nucleotides) under Listeria innocua. RNAcentral describes it as "partial 16S ribosomal RNA". It matches the Rfam family "Bacterial small subunit ribosomal RNA", at positions 1 to 174 of the family's 1533-position model. Lineage: Bacteria; Bacillati; Bacillota; Bacilli; Caryophanales; Listeriaceae. The record is from RNAcentral.
UUUAAAGAGAGUUUGAUCCUGGCUCAGGACGAACGCUGGCGGCGUGCCUAAUACAUGCAAGUCGAACGAACGGAGGAAGAGCUUGCUCUUUCAAUGUUAGUGGCGGACGGGUGAGUAACACGUGGGCAACCUGCCUGUAAGUUGGGGAUAACUCCGGGAAACCGGGGCUAAUACCGAAU